CCUGACAGUCUCUGAUAGCUGAAUAAUGGAUGAAGCUCCACUGUUUACUUAGCAGGAGAAAAAAAGAGAGAAUGAUAGAGAAGUCCAGAUAAAGUGCAGGAAUCUGACAUCCUCUUGUGCUGAACAAUGGGUCAACCAUACCAAGUCAGUCAAGUCGAAAGCUGUGGGGGUGUUCGUCUUCUGAGAGAACCCUCCCCAUGAAAUCUCCCACAAUGCCUGUCACCGGUACCUAAAAUUCCACCAUUAGAGAUUCACUCUUUUGGUUCUGGAGGCAUUUUAAUCCCUGGGGGUCCUAUUAAAAUGCAAAAACUCCGAGAAGAAUAACAGCAUUGAAAGCUAUUAUUAACUGACAGCAAGGAGGCCCUGGGGAAUUGGACACAGGAUAGAGCCUGAGGAACAACUCCAGGAAAUCGGGGCGAGAGCAGAGGGAAGGUAGGAUGGCAGCAAAAAUAAACUUUAUCUACUUCGCCAUUUUGUAGGGGCAAGGCAGCCCCACUUCUGAUAUUCUGUACACUGAGGAAAUUCCAUUCAAGAGACAGCGAUGUGGAACUUUUCUUUUUCUGCUUGCUUUUAAAAUUGUACAUUUCACAUACACUGGGAAUGUUUCUGUAGAAAACAUGGAAGUGACUUAAACUAAUAAGGUGUCUCCAGAAGAGAAGAACUAGGAGUCUACGGAAGCUGACUUUGUGGAUUUCAGAAAAUCUGCCUGUAUCUCAUAAGGCACUGAUUGGCAGCAGCAGAAGUUGGUCCCAGAGCCAUCUCUCUCC
Molecule: long non-coding RNA, 767 nt
Filed under: Pan troglodytes (chimpanzee)
Lineage: Eukaryota; Metazoa; Chordata; Mammalia; Primates; Hominidae
Description: lncRNA (ENSPTRG00000053320.1)
Source: RNAcentral